GUGGGGAGACACACCAUGUUGCAGAAUUGCGCCUCCGAGCUCUUGCUUUCUCCAAAAAUCGCAGCAGACCAACCCCGUGGGUCGCCUCCGUUGAUCGCCGCUGCCCGCCGAACGUUUAACCUCUUAUUAAACACAAUUUUUUUAUACCUACGUACGCUCCGCGUGGGUGUCAGCGAGAGAAAGAAGUAGCCGGGCCCUCCGCUGGCGAUGGAACAAACGUAAAAGAAGAUGAUGUCAAGCGGUGGCUACACCUCCAUCGACAACCAGAAGGUCUCCGGAUCCGUUCCGGCCGUCUGCUGUCCGGAUCACGUCACCGUCAAAUUCGCAGAUUGGCGUUAGGGUUAGCAUUCGGCUUUUUUAGGGUUUUCAGAUCUGGUGUUGUUUUGUUUCUUGGGUGUGAUCAUUGAUGCUUGAUUCGAUGCGCUAUAGAGUCCAAUCCCCCCGACGUUUCGACCAUCCAAGGCCCAGGGCAAGAUCUCCGCCGUCUUCCAACCCCCUUCCGAUGUCGAUGGUACCAAAUCCAUCCCAUAAAAUCAUCUUCCUGGAGUUCGAUUUCUUGAUUCGGUACCUGUUUCAUCUUCGGUUCGUCGGUUCGUGUUUUCUGUGGUUUCAAAGUUGUUCUCUGAUCUGGAUUUGGAUUCUCGAUAGAUACGUUCUCGAAGCCGGCUCGGGGGAUUUCCGAUGAGUCGCAACCCCUUCAAAGAAAGUUUUACCGAGAAGACGGCUGAAAAUCCGGACUGGUGUAUUCCUCCUCUCAUCCCAAUGAUCUACUACUUCAUUAUUACCCAUAUUAUCUGGGUAGUUUCGUUCCAAUGGAGCUCUUUAGGGCACGUCAUGGCAACGUGUGCCUGCGCCGGUUAGGACGAUAGUGGGAUAAAAUUUUUAUAGUUGGACCGAUUACGGAAGAAAUUAUGAUCGGAUCGUCAUCACCUACCACAUCUUCAAAGCGCACAUCUCUGAAACGUUUAUGCACAUGCACAAGUGCGUGCGUUGAAAUACUAAGAAAAUAGAAAUGGAUAAAAAAUUAUGUAAUAUUUAUCAAAACUGUUUCAAUAUUCUUAAGAUUUAUUCAUUCUUAUAUUUUUAGUAUUUUUGGAGACGUGACAGGUGAUGACGAUCCAAUUAUAAUUUUUUUCAUAAUCGAUCCGAUCAUAGAAAUUUUAUCACUGCUAGUCUCCUGAUCCAUUAAUCUUUAUAUAUCCCUUGAUCGGUUAUGGCUUACUUGCAUUUUGUAUGUCAUCAAUACAUUAGUAUUGCAAUCCAUUCUUAUCCUGUUAUU
Non-coding RNA from Elaeis guineensis (African oil palm), 1279 nucleotides. Lineage: Eukaryota; Viridiplantae; Streptophyta; Magnoliopsida; Arecales; Arecaceae. The record is from RefSeq and is a predicted model, not a curated record.